UAUUCCUACGGGGCGCAGCAGUGGGGGAUAUUGAACAAUGGGGGGAACCCUGAUCCAGCGACGCCGCGUGAGUGAAGAAGUAUUUCGGUAUGUAAAGCUCUGUCAGCAGGGAAGAAAGCAAUGACGGUACCUGACCAAGAAGCCCCGGCUAACUACGUGCCAGCAGCCGCGGUAAUACGUAGGGGGCAAGCGUUAUCCGGAUUUACUGGGUGUAAAGGGAGCGUAGGUGGCAAGGCAAGUCAGAUGUGAAAACCCGGGGCCCAACCCCGGGAGUGCAUUUGAAACUGUCUGGCUAGAGUGCAGGG
RNAcentral lists this ribosomal RNA (305 nucleotides) under uncultured bacterium. RNAcentral's name for it is "bacterial SSU rRNA". It matches the Rfam family "Bacterial small subunit ribosomal RNA", at positions 334 to 653 of the family's 1533-position model. The record is from RNAcentral.